Molecule: ribosomal RNA, 274 nt
Filed under: uncultured bacterium
Lineage: Bacteria
Description: partial 16S ribosomal RNA
Rfam family: Bacterial small subunit ribosomal RNA
Source: RNAcentral
AUACGUAGGAGGCGAGCGUUGUCCGGAUUUACUGGGCGUAAAGGGCGAGUAGGCGGCCCGGCAAGUCUCAUGUGAAAUCUUCCGGCUCAACUGGAAGCGGUCAUGGGAAACUGCCAGGCUUGAGGGCAGCAGAGGAAAGUGGAAUUCCCGGAGUAGUGGUGAAAUGCGUAGAUAUCAGGAGGAAUACCGGUGGCGAAGGCGACUCUCUGGACGAUAACUGACGCUGAGGCGCGAAAGCUAGGGGAGCAAACAGGAUUAGAAACCCCAGUAGUCC